UACGUAGGGUGCGAGCGUUAAUCGGAAUUACUGGGCUUAAAGCGUGCGUCGGCGGUUAGUUAAGUCAGAUGUGAAAGCCCCGGGCUCAACCUGGGAACUGCAUUUGAAACUGGCGGGCUUGAGUAUGGCAGAGGGGGGUGGAAUUCCGCGUGUAGCAGUGAAAUGCGUAGAGAUGCGGAGGAACACCGAUGGCGAAGGCAGCCCCCUGGGCCAAUACUGACGCUCAGGCACGAAAGCGUGGGGAGCAAACAGG
This 253-nucleotide ribosomal RNA is filed under the name uncultured bacterium. RNAcentral describes it as "partial 16S ribosomal RNA". It matches the Rfam family "Bacterial small subunit ribosomal RNA", at positions 524 to 776 of the family's 1533-position model. The record is from RNAcentral.